UUAAUGAGAAAACAGGAGUUUUCCCUUAUCUCAGAUUUAUCGUUUCUCUUGCCUUUCCCACCUGAAGGGGGAUGGCUGCGCACCUCUGACCAACACCUCAUCUGCCAGUUUCUGAGUGUGCUCUCCCCCUUCAGACGGUAUUCUUUUCAGUAACAACCAGAACUUUUAUACCCUCAGGUGGGUCCUCACCAGUGAUUCCUCUUCAUGAGCCCCAUUAAUAUUGAUGAAGGUCACACCUAAGCACCAAUAGGAGAAAAAACACCCUAAAGCAUAAAGGAUGAAUAUCUUAAAGCCCUGGUAGAGGCUGGCAUCUUCGAUACCUACAUGUGGUUUCAGUCAUAAUGGAGUAGAAGCCAACUUCCUGGAAAUGAGAUUUUAGGUGGUUACGUCCUAGAGUCUCUCCUCUGGUCUGCUUUCCCCUCUAGCUUGCACAUUCUUUGAUUUUGAAUUUUGUGAGAAAGCCUUUAAAAAACCCUGGUUUUAAAAAUUUCAAAUGUUGACUUAACUGUGCAAUUUCAAAAAAACAGGAAAACUGAAGUAAAUACCAUAGAGUCAUAGGAAGGCUUUGGGGGAGCGUGGGGGGAGAUGGUGCUUGUUUUAGUUUGGGCAGUCUUUUUGGAUAAGUAUUGAGAAUAUUUACAACAUUCUAUGAUUAUGUCACGUUUGUUUUGUGAGGGGAGACCAGGUUAGCUUUUGCAUAUAUAUUAUUUCUCUUAGUAUUUAAAUAUAUUUAAACAAUUUUGUGAAGCAGAGCUAGAAAAUAAUGGUGGUAUUUCAGACAGUAUUUUGAAAUUAUAAAUGUUACUUUAAAUUGAAUAAGAGAAAAUUUCCAGUAGUAGCUUACGUUACAAAAUUAAUUUAUAAUAUUUCUGCAUAAUUUUAUUGAGAUGACUUUUGUUUUUGUGGUGAAAAUAAUAUAGUGGCAACAAUUUUGAGGAAUCUUUAAAGCUGUCGUAGAAGGGACAGCCAAACUUUGGCUAGAUUUUUACUAGAAUUUUGAAAUAAGAAGUAUAUCAAUGUUACUUUUCAGUUCAAUUAGUCUUGAUGAAUAACAGUUAUUAUGUGAGUUUUAAGGGUCUUGAUAAAUUUGGGAUCUAUUCUUUUUCUAAAGCUCACGAUGUUCAUCACUGCUCAGUACUCUUGCAUUGUGUUUUAUUUCUCAAAAUAAUGUAAUUUUUAUGGAAAACUCAAUUAGUGGAAUCUUUUAUUCAAUAUUCCCUCACUUUGCUGCUUUCCUUCCUCCUCCC
Molecule: long non-coding RNA, 1247 nt
Filed under: Equus caballus (horse)
Lineage: Eukaryota; Metazoa; Chordata; Mammalia; Perissodactyla; Equidae
Description: lncRNA (ENSECAG00000051021.1)
Source: RNAcentral